Molecule: long non-coding RNA, 3038 nt
Organism: Carya illinoinensis
Lineage: Eukaryota; Viridiplantae; Streptophyta; Magnoliopsida; Fagales; Juglandaceae
Exons: 2
Source: RefSeq, a predicted model, not a curated record
UUUUGGGUAUCUUAGUAUCUGAUGAAUGAGUCUAGGAGUGAGUCUAUAUUUUGAUAGUGAGUCUCUGUUGUGAUGGUAUAAAUCCCGGUGGGACUCUAUGGCAUAAGCAUGUGCACGACACUUGGUCAUUUAAGUGACUUGAGACAUUUAGCCCCACUCGGUUUCGCGCCUAGACACCCCUUUUCACGAUAUACUCUUUCACCUAUACACAACACACUCCUCUUUCACACCCUAACCAUAUCUCACUUCACAUCGGUUUCGAACUUUUCGUGAUUAAGAACCAUAACAAAUCAUCCUAAUUUACGUUUCACUAUCAUGGUCUAAAUUACAUUCAUUAAAUUUUAUUUUGUCACAAAUUCGCCAAAAUGGGAGAUUCUAUAUGCAAGAUUCUGGCUAUGACUAAGUGACUUAGUUGAUGAGUUUGGAUAGAACUAGGUGACUAAAAUGAUAGAAUUUAUCCUAUCAGUAAAUUUGUCACUUAUCCGUCAAAGAGGAAGAUUGUACGUGCAAGAUUUUGUUGCAAAUCGUCACUAAUCCGCCAAAGAGUAAGAUUGUAUAUGCAAGAUUUUGUCGCAAAUCUGCCAAAAGAUGAGAUUAUAUAUGCAAGAUUUUGCCUAGUUCUUAGUAACUUAGUUGAUAAGUUUGGAUAAAACUAGGUGACUAACAUGAUAGAGUUUAUCCUAUCAGUAAAUUUGUAAUGAUGGAUGAGUGUAAAAUAAUUAUUGACUUUAUUUACAACAUUAUUGAGUUUAUCUAGAAGUCAUAGAGGUUGUUUAGAUAAGUUAUUUAUGUGAAAUUCGAGUUCAUGAGGAUCUACACUUAUCCAAAAUAAAAGCUGAAUAGAAAUCUCUUACUGCAGAGAAUUUAUCGCGAGUGUCAGCAUUCCGUCAGGAGAUGUCUCGCGAUAAAUUCUAUCCGUUAGCAGAGUCCUACUAAAAUUGAAAUUCUUUCUAGAUUGUUUAUUUAAGGAAUCCUACUGGUUAUGAUAUGUAGAAAUUCAAAUUUAAAUAUUUUUUAAAGCACUUUUUAGUGCAUAUUUUGGUAAGAAAAUUCCUAAGAGAAUUUUCAUUUAUUUUUUUUUAAUUUCUCCUUGAAUGUGAUCAUGCUCUAAGUUUGGAGGAUUGUUGAUUGAAUUUCAGCCAUUGGAGUUCUAGGAGGAAAGGAACUAUUUGAAAAUCGCCAGAGGUUCUGACUGCUACCGUUGUAGAAAACAAAUUAGUCGUUUGUUUGGACAAGUAAGAGAGCUAAGCUACAAAGGUUUUUAAUUAAGAUUUUAUCUUUAAAGAGUUCUUUAAAAGGUUGCUCUUCGUAAUCAAUUUUUAUAUUAUGUAAGUUUGUUUAUUUACUUUUAAGUACUUAAUUUAUUAAAUAAUCAUAAUAUUGAGAUUUAACCAAUUUAUUUAAAGAAAUUGAUAAAUAAUUUCGUGGUUUCACAUAGAUAUAUUGGGAAUUUCAAAAUACUUCUCCUCUUCGAGUACAAUGUUAGUUCUUUGCACCAAUGUGCUAGAAAAUAUCUUUUAGAUUAGUAUGUACAUUUUCUCCUGGAUGAUUCUUUCAUUUUACAGUGCUGUGGACUGUGUGGAGAUUGACCCUGGGAGCAGAUUCACGUAACUAGUAAGAACAGUGUGUAUCUAGACUUAUAAGUGGUCUUGAAUAUGACUUCCAUAAUUGUUUCUCUGUGUAUGCCGAGAAAACGUAGGAAAUGGAUGAAGAAAUUUGAUUGGAUCUUUUUAUGGUCAAUUUGUGAUCUUCUGGGAUUCACUAGUCCAAUGCCUCUGGCUCUGAUGCAUUUUUCUUCGGAUUGAUGACUCCCGGUUGGACCAGCGGCCAGCCUCUAAUGCUAGAGCGUCAAUCUCCCUCUAUUGGUGAGCUAUAGAUAAAAUCAUUUUACGAUUUCUUUAUAAUUUUAUAAUAAAAUAUUUUUAUUUCUAAUUCAAAUAUAUCAGAGUCAAAAUAAUAGGUAGAUAUUUUUUUAAAAAAAUAAUAUUUUAAAUCACUAGACUUAAAGCCUCGUUUGUUUUCACAAUACUUUUCAACUCAUCUCAAUCUCAUAUCAUCUAAUCAUUAAAACUUUUUUAAAUUUUUACAUAAAAUAAAAUAAACAAUUUAACAUUUUCAAAUCUCAAAAUAAAAAUAAUAUAAAAAAUAUUUUAAAAAUAUUUUAUUUAAUUUUCAACUUUAAUCUCGAGUUAUCUCGUGUGCAAAAACACACUAAGCAACUCGCUUUACCACAUGUUUUAUGCACAGAACAAAGUCUUUAUACAAGUUCAAUUCGAUCUACCCUUAUAUAUCUCCUAAGAUUCAAAUAAAAUCUCUCAUUCUUGAGAAAAUUUGAUCAAUUUCAUCACACUAGGCUUGCUUUGUUGUAUAAGUUUGGAGGCAUUUAUAUAGACACAGAUAUUAUAGUGUUAAAGAGCUUCUCGAAGUUGAGAUAUGUAAUCGGUGCUCAGACAAUUGAUCUUGAAACUGGGAAUUGGAGCCGAUUGAACAAUGCUGUGCUGAUAUUCGACAAGAAUCAUCCUCUACUUUACAAAUUCAUUGAAGAAUUUGCGCUAACCUUCGACGGGAACAAAUGUGGCCACAAUUGCCCUUACUUAGUCUCGAGGGUUGUUUCCAGGCUGGGUCGAAGGCCUGGAUUUAAUUUCACGGUGUUGCCACCUUCGGCAUUUUAUCCGGUUGAUUGGAGUAGGAUUCGAUGUCUAUUUCGGGGCCGAGAGACGAGCUGCAUUCAAAAUGGAUGCAUAAAAAGUUGAGGCAGAUUCAGUCCAGAAGUUUGGCUGUUCACUUGUGGAAUAGGCAGAGCAGGAACCUAGAGGUUGAAAAGGGAAGCAUCAUCAGUCACAUACAGUCCGAUUGUUGUAUCUUCUGUAAUUCUGCACUUUCCAGUUUGUAAUCACAGAAUAACUAUGGCAAUUGCAACAAAUUGUCUUAUGCAUUUCAGUUUGUUGUAUGUGGUUUAUGGACCGACUUGGUUCAUUCCACCAUUGCAGUCCAUGAAGAAAGAAUAUUAGGGAAUGAUAAUCUUUUCUUCUUCGUUA